This 486-nucleotide ribosomal RNA is filed under the name uncultured bacterium. RNAcentral's name for it is "partial 16S ribosomal RNA". It matches the Rfam family "Bacterial small subunit ribosomal RNA", at positions 28 to 507 of the family's 1533-position model. The record is from RNAcentral.
GACGAACGCUGGCGGCGUGCUUAACACAUGCAAGUCGAACGCUGACGACCUGGCUUUUGUUGGGUUGGAUGAGUGGCGAACGGGUGAGUAACACGUGAGUAACCUGCCCUCUUCUUUGGGAUAACGCCCGGAAACGGGUGCUAAUACUGGAUAUUCACUGGCCUUCGCAUGGGGGUUGGUGGAAAGGUUUGUUCUGGUGGGGGAUGGGCUCGCGGCCUAUCAGCUUGUUGGUGGGGUGAUGGCCUACCAAGGCUUUGACGGGUAGCCGGCCUGAGAGGGUGACCGGUCACAUGGGGACUGGGACACGGUCCAGAGUGCUACGGGAGGCAGCAGUGGGGAAUAGUGGGCGAUGGGCGAAAGCCUGAUGCAGCGACGCCGCGUGAGGGACGGAGGCCUGCGGGUUGUAAACCUCGUUCGCUCAUGGUCAAGCCGCAACUGUGGGUUGUGGUGAGGGUAGUGGGUAAAGAAGCGCCGGCUAACUACGUG